RNAcentral lists this ribosomal RNA (433 nucleotides) under uncultured bacterium. Its description in RNAcentral is "partial 16S ribosomal RNA". It matches the Rfam family "Bacterial small subunit ribosomal RNA", at positions 29 to 507 of the family's 1533-position model. The record is from RNAcentral.
AGCGAACGCUGGCGGCAGGCCUAACACAUGCAAGUCGAACGAACUCUUCGGAGUUAGUGGCGGACGGGUGAGUAACACGUGGGAACGUGCCUUUUGGUUCGGAAUAACUCAGGGAAACUUGUGCUAAUACCGAAUGUGCCCUUCGGGGGAAAGAUUUAUCGCCAUUAGAGCGGCCCGCGUCUGAUUAGCCAGUUGGUGAGGUAACGGCUCACCAAGGCGACGAUCAGUAGCUGGUCUGAGAGGAUGACCAGCCACACUGGGACUGAGACACGGCCCAGACUCCUACGGGAGGCAGCAGUGGGGAAUCUUGCGCAAUGGGCGAAAGCCUGACGCAGCCAUGACGCGUGAAUGAUGAAGGUCUUAGGAUUGUAAAAUUCUUUCACCGGGGACGAUAAUGACGGUACCCGGAGAAGAAGCCCCGGCUAACUUCGUG